RNAcentral lists this ribosomal RNA (762 nucleotides) under uncultured bacterium. RNAcentral's name for it is "bacterial SSU rRNA". It matches the Rfam family "Bacterial small subunit ribosomal RNA", at positions 28 to 774 of the family's 1533-position model. The record is from RNAcentral.
GAUGAACGCUGGCGGCGUGCUUAACACAUGCAAGUCGAACGGAGUAUUCCUCCCUGAAACCGAUGUAGCUUGCUACGGAAGUUUCUUUUGGAAUACUUAUUGGCGGACGGGUGAGUAACGCGUGAGUAACCUGCCCUUGAGUGGGGAAUAACACCGAGAAAUCGGUGCUAAUACCGCAUAAUGUCAGAGGACCGCAUGAUCUUCUGACCAAAGGAUUUAUUCGCUUAAGGAUGGACUCGCGUCCGAUUAGCUAGUUGGUGAGGUAACGGCCCACCAAGGCAACGAUCGGUAGCCGAACUGAGAGGUUGAUCGGCCACAUUGGGACUGAGACACGGCCCAGACUCCUACGGGAGGCAGCAGUGGGGAAUAUUGGGCAAUGGGCGAAAGCCUGACCCAGCAACGCCGCGUGAAGGAUGAAGGUCCUCGGAUUGUAACUUCUUUGAUCAGGGACGAAUUUUGACGGUACCUGAAGAACAAGUCACGGCUAACUACGUGCCAGCAGCCGCGGUAAUACGUAGGUGACAAGCGUUAUCCGGAUUUACUGGGUGUAAAGGGCGUGUAGGCGGUUUGGCAAGUCAGAAGUGAAAUUCCCGGGCUUAACUUGGGCGCUGCUUCUGAAACUGCUUUACUUGAGUGCUGGAGAGGAUAGUGGAAUUCCUAGUGUAGCGGUAAAAUGCGCAGAUAUUAGGAGGAACACCGGUGGCGAAGGCGGCUAUCUGGACAGUAACUGACGCUGAGGCGCGAAAGCACGGGGAGCAAACA